AUGUGUUUAAAAGUUUUGUCAUGUGUGGCUUCAUGUACAAUUGUGUUAAAUACUCGGUUUAGGUAGCAUUGGGUCAGGUUUGGUAAUCGGGUUUCGGUUAAAAAAGGUAAAAACAUAAGUGCCUUUAUUUCUUUGGGAUUAUGGUAAAAAAAUGGUUUGGCUCAACUCAUUUCUUCAUAAGUGUUAGUUCGUUCUUUCAUCUUCUUGGGAACAUGAUGUAUACUGUCUAUCAUUUCCAUUAAUAUAUCAACAUAUAUAUAAUUAAAAUAUUUAUGUCAACAAUGUUAAAGUAGUUAUUUUUGGAUGUGGAUUAGCACAAUGCUAAUCUGUUUUUUUAAUAAAAUUUGAUUUGUUGGUUGUUUAAAAAAAGGAAAUAUAUCUCAAUUAUCUUCUUUUAAUGUGUUUAAAAGUUUUGUUGUGGAAAGUUUUUGUUAUGUUUUUACUUAGGUCAUGUGUGGCUUCAUGUACAAUUGUGUUAAAUACUCGGUUUAAGUAGCAUUGGGUCAGGUUUGGUAAUCGGGUUUCGGUUAAAAAAGGUAAAAACAUAAGUGCCUUUAUUUCUUUGGGAUUAUGGUAAAAAAAGUGGUUUGGCUCAACUCAUUUCUUCAUAAGUGCUUUGGCUUAACCGAUACCGUAUCGCAUAGCAUAGGGGUGCACAUGUAAAGAAAAGGAAGGAGGCGCC
RNAcentral lists this long non-coding RNA (682 nucleotides) under Helianthus annuus (common sunflower). RNAcentral's name for it is "hypothetical non coding rna". The record is from RNAcentral. Lineage: Eukaryota; Viridiplantae; Streptophyta; Magnoliopsida; Asterales; Asteraceae.